UCAGCUAAAUAAACCAAUUCGAAUAAUGACCACCUGACAAAGUAGCAAUCUAUGGCAUGUGCUUAAGUGAGAAGCAGAUAAGCCUGUGCUCAUGGAGACACUGUGCAUGGGGCAGAUAAUCAAUUUGAUCAUAUUUCUGUCUGUUGUCUGCAAUUGCAGGUGAAAGCCUGUUGGAAUCACCUGGGUUGAGAGGUAUUGAUUUUGAUGAGGUUAUACCUUGGGUUUGUGCAUAGGAUCUGUCUAAAUUUUUUGCUAUAGGAGUAUUUCUUGUUUUCUUUUACUUUCAUAGUCUUUUAUAGGAAUACUUAUUUUUUUUUUUUUUUUUAAUAAAAUUUUUUGAACAUUGUAAGAACUAAAACAAUUAAAGGAAAUGAUGCUGCAAAAGCAUUUGAUUACGGG
RNAcentral lists this unclassified non-coding RNA (399 nucleotides) under Hevea brasiliensis (rubber tree). The record is from RNAcentral. Lineage: Eukaryota; Viridiplantae; Streptophyta; Magnoliopsida; Malpighiales; Euphorbiaceae.